CACCCGCCACGUGGCACUUAUUGCUCGUUCGUCGUUCCCUUCAUGCAGCUGGAGCGCAGUCGUAGUCUCCGUCGUCGUCGUCGUCCCCGUCGCCACGAACCAUCUCCAAACGCUCCUCCACGUGCUCCUCACGUGCGCGCCCCAUUUCCUUCUCCGCGGAGGGGGAGCUCGUCCUCAUCGGGGCCAUUGCUGCGACGCUUAACGCGGAGAGAGGUGGGUGGAAAAGGAGUGGAGAUCGAUCCUUUCCCUUUUCUUUUGUUGCUGUG
This 266-nucleotide long non-coding RNA is filed under the name Ananas comosus (pineapple). Its description in RNAcentral is "long non-coding RNA (ACOM_LNC018681)". Lineage: Eukaryota; Viridiplantae; Streptophyta; Magnoliopsida; Poales; Bromeliaceae. The record is from RNAcentral.